AAGUCGAACGGUAACAGGAAGUGCUUGCACUUCGCUGACGAGUGGCGGACGGGUGAGUAAUACUUAGGGAUCUGCCUUUGAGUGGGGGACAACCAUUGGAAACGAUGGCUAAUACCGCAUAACGUCUACGGACCAAAGUGGGCUUCGGCUCACGCUUGAAGAGGAACCUAAGCGAGAUUAGCUAGUUGGUGAGGUAAGGGCUCACCAAGGCGACGAUCUCUAGCUGUUCUGAGAGGAAGAUCAGCCACACUGGGACUGAGACACGGCCCAGACUCCUACGGGAGGCAGCAGUGGGGAAUAUUGCACAAUGGGGGAAACCCUGAUGCAGCCAUGCCGCGUGUGUGAAGAAGGCCUUCGGGUUGUAAAGCACUUUCAGUUGUGAGGAAAGGUUGGUAGUUAAUACCUGCCAGCUGUGACGUUAACAACAGAAGAAGCACCGGCUAACUCCGUGCCAGCAGCCGCGGUAAUACGGAGGGUGCGAGCGUUAAUCGGAAUUACUGGGCGUAAAGCGCACGCAGGCGGUUUGUUAAGCUAGAUGUGAAAGCCCCGGGCCCAACCUGGGAUGGUCAUUUAGAACUGGCAGACUAGAGUCUUGGAGAGGGGAGUGGAAUUCCAGGUGUAGCGAUGAAAUGCGUAGAGAUCUGGAGGAACAUCAGUGGCGAAGGCGACUCCCUGGCC
RNAcentral lists this ribosomal RNA (678 nucleotides) under uncultured Alteromonadaceae bacterium. Its description in RNAcentral is "bacterial SSU rRNA". It matches the Rfam family "Bacterial small subunit ribosomal RNA", at positions 59 to 734 of the family's 1533-position model. The record is from RNAcentral. Lineage: Bacteria; Pseudomonadati; Pseudomonadota; Gammaproteobacteria; Alteromonadales; Alteromonadaceae.